AGCUAGUGAGGCGUAGUGGUCCAAGUGCUGGACUAUGAUUCUGGAGACCAGGGUUCGAUUCCCUGCUUGGCCA
Molecule: non-coding RNA, 73 nt
Organism: Phrynosoma platyrhinos (Desert horned lizard)
Lineage: Eukaryota; Metazoa; Chordata; Lepidosauria; Squamata; Phrynosomatidae
Source: the annotation of a GenBank genome assembly